UACGAAGGGGGCUAGCGUUGUUCGGAAUUACUGGGCGUAAAGGGCGCGUAGGCGGCCGCCUAAGUCAGACGUGAAAUCCCUCGGCUCAACCGGGGAACUGCGUCUGAUACUGGGUGGCUUGAAUCCGGGAGAGGGAUGCGGAAUUCCAGAUGUAGCGGUGAAAUGCGUAGAUAUCUGGAGGAACACCGGUGGCGAAGGCGGCAUCCUGGACCGGCAUUGACGCUGAGGCGCGAAAGCCAGGGGAGCAAACGGG
This 253-nucleotide ribosomal RNA is filed under the name uncultured bacterium. RNAcentral's name for it is "partial 16S ribosomal RNA". It matches the Rfam family "Bacterial small subunit ribosomal RNA", at positions 524 to 776 of the family's 1533-position model. The record is from RNAcentral.